AGACGAGUCAGGAAGCAGCGACUAGAAGCAAACAAAGAAAGAAUCAAGCUAGGGAACACUCUAGAUUUAAGCCUCCUUAAGGGCUUCUAAGGCUUAGUAAGUAGGCAGGUUCAACCCUUUCCAGUAUGGUCAAACCACCUCAUCUUUCAGAGAAAGGAGCUAACUCGUCUUGCUUGAAAGAAGACAUGCCUCGACUUGCCCCAUUGAUU
This 209-nucleotide long non-coding RNA is filed under the name Panax ginseng (ginseng). RNAcentral describes it as "long non-coding RNA (PGIN_LNC018191)". The record is from RNAcentral. Lineage: Eukaryota; Viridiplantae; Streptophyta; Magnoliopsida; Apiales; Araliaceae.